This 497-nucleotide ribosomal RNA is filed under the name uncultured bacterium. RNAcentral describes it as "partial 16S ribosomal RNA". It matches the Rfam family "Bacterial small subunit ribosomal RNA", at positions 28 to 507 of the family's 1533-position model. The record is from RNAcentral.
GAUGAACGCUGGCGGCGUGCCUAAUACAUGCAAGUCGAGCGAACGGACGAGAAGCUUGCUUUUCUGGUGUUAGCGGCGGACGGGUGAGUAACACGUGGAUAACCUACCUAUAAGACUGGGAUAACUUCGGGAAACCGGAGCUAAUACCGGAUAAUAUUUUGAACCGCAUGGUUCAAAAGUGAAAGACGGUCUUGCUGUCACUUAUAGAUGGAUCCGCGCUGCAUUAGCUAGUUGGUAAGGUAACGGCUUACCAAGGCAACGAUGCAUAGCCGACCUGAGAGGGUGAUCGGCCACACUGGAACGGAGACACGGUCCAGACUCCUACGAGAGGCAGCAGUAGGGAAUCUUCCGCAAUGGGCGAAAGCCUGACGGAGCAACGCCGCGUGAGUGAUGAAGGUCUUCGGAUCGUAAAACUCUGUUAUUAGGGAAGAACAUAUGUGUAAGUAACUGUGCACAUCUUGACGGUACCUAAUCAGAAAGCCACGGCUAACUACGUG